CAGUAGCCGCGGUAAUACGAAGGGGGCUAGCGUUGUUCGGAAUUACUGGGCGUAAAGCGUGCGUAGGUGGUGGUUUAAGUCCGUUGUGAAAGCCCUGGGCUCAACCUGGGAAUUGCAGUGGAUACUGGGUCACUAGAGUGUGGUAGAGGAUAGUGGAAUUUCCGGUGUAGCAGUGAAAUGCGUAGAGAUCGGAAGGAACAUCUGUGGCGAAGGCGACUAUCUGGGCCAACACUGACACUGAGGCACGAAAGCGUGGGGAGCAAACAGGAUUAGAUACCCCCGUAGUCCCUGUCUCUUAUAC
RNAcentral lists this ribosomal RNA (301 nucleotides) under uncultured bacterium. RNAcentral's name for it is "partial 16S ribosomal RNA". It matches the Rfam family "Bacterial small subunit ribosomal RNA", at positions 509 to 807 of the family's 1533-position model. The record is from RNAcentral.